UGUCGAACGCGCGGAUCAGGAGCUUGCUCCUGUGACGCGAGUGGCGGACGGGUGAGUAACACGUAGGCAACCUGCCCAUCAGACUGGGAUAACCACGGGAAACCGUGGCUAAUACCGGAUAAUCCUUUUCCACACAGGUGGGAAAGUUGAAAGGCGGCCUUUUGGCUGUCACUGAUGGAUGGGCCUGCGGCGCAUUAGCUGGUUGGUGGGGUAACGGCCCACCAAGGCGACGAUGCGUAGCCGACCUGAGAGGGUGAUCGGCCACACUGGGACUGAGACACGGCCCAGACUCCUACGGGAGGCAGCAGUAGGGAAUCUUCCGCAAUGGACGAAAGUCUGACGGAGCAACGCCGCGUGAGUGAAGAAGGGUUUCGGCUCGUAAAACUCUGUUGUCAGGGAAGAACGCCGACGGGAGUAACUGCCCGUCGGGUGACGGUACCUGACCAGAAAGCCACGGCUAACUACGUGCCAGCAGCCGCGGUAAUACGUAGGUGGCAAGCGUUAUCCGGAAUUAUUGGGCGUAAAGCGCGCGUAGGCGGUUCGUUAAGUCUGAUGUGAAAGCCCCCGGCUCAACCGGGGAGGGUCAUUGGAAACUGGCGGACUUGAGUGCAGAAGAGGAGAGUGGAAUUCCAUGUGUAGCGGUGAAAUGCGCAGAGAUAUGGAGGAACACCAGUGGCGAAGGCGGCUCUCUGGUCUGCAACUGACGCUGAGGUGCGAAAGCGUGGGGAUCAAACAGGAUUAGAUACCCUGGUAGUCCACGCCGUAAACGAUGAGUGCUAAGUGUUAGGGGGUUUCCGCCC
This 800-nucleotide ribosomal RNA is filed under the name Salinicoccus sp. JSM 072007. RNAcentral's name for it is "bacterial SSU rRNA". It matches the Rfam family "Bacterial small subunit ribosomal RNA", at positions 60 to 838 of the family's 1533-position model. The record is from RNAcentral. Lineage: Bacteria; Bacillati; Bacillota; Bacilli; Caryophanales; Staphylococcaceae.